AACGAACGCUGGCGGCAUGCCUAACACAUGCAAGUCGAACGAGACCUUCGGGUCUAGUGGCGCACGGGUGCGUAACGCGUGGGAACCUGCCCUUAGGUUCGGAAUAACUCCCCGACAGGGGUGCUAAUACCGGAUAAUGUCUUCGGACCAAAGAUUUAUCGCCUUUGGAUGUGCCCGCGUUGGAUUAGCUAGUUGGUAGGGUAAAAGCCUACCAAGGCGACGAUCCAUAGCUGGUCUGAGAGGAUGAUCAGCCACACUGGGACUGAGACACGGCCCAGACUCCUACGGGAGGCAGCAGUGGGGAAUAUUGGACAAUGGGCGAAAGCCUGAUCCAGCAAUGCCGCGUGAGUGAUGAAGGCCUUAGGGUUGUAAAGCUCUUUUACCCGGGAUGAUAAUGACAGUACCGGGAGAAUAAGCUCCGGCUAACUCCGUG
Molecule: ribosomal RNA, 433 nt
Filed under: uncultured bacterium
Lineage: Bacteria
Description: partial 16S ribosomal RNA
Rfam family: Bacterial small subunit ribosomal RNA
Source: RNAcentral